GACGAACGCUGGCGGCGGGCUUAACACAUGCAAGUCGAACGGAAAGGCCCUGCUUUUGUUGGGUGCUCGAGUGGCGAACGGGUGAGUAACACGUGAGUAACCUGCCCUUGACUUUGGGAUAACUUCAGGAAACUGGGGCUAAUACCGGAUAGGAGCUCCUUCUGCAUGGUGGGGGUUGGAAAGUUUCGGCGGUUGGGGCUGGACUCGCGGCUUAUCAGCUUGUUGGUGGGGUAGUGGCUUACCAAGGCAUUGACGGGUAGCCGGCCUGAGAGGGUGACCGGCCACAUUGGGACUGAGCUACGGCCCAGACUCCUACGGGAGGCAGCAGUGGGGAAUAGUGCACAAUGGGCGGAAGCAUGAUGCAGCAACGCCGCGUGCGGGAUGACGGCCUUCGGGUUGUAAACCGCUUUCGCCUGUGACGAAGCGUGAGUGACGGUAAUGGGUAAAGAAGCACCGGCUAACUACGUG
RNAcentral lists this ribosomal RNA (468 nucleotides) under uncultured bacterium. RNAcentral's name for it is "partial 16S ribosomal RNA". It matches the Rfam family "Bacterial small subunit ribosomal RNA", at positions 28 to 507 of the family's 1533-position model. The record is from RNAcentral.